This 1030-nucleotide unclassified non-coding RNA is filed under the name Hevea brasiliensis (rubber tree). The record is from RNAcentral. Lineage: Eukaryota; Viridiplantae; Streptophyta; Magnoliopsida; Malpighiales; Euphorbiaceae.
UGCAAUGCUGGAUCAUGAGGCAGAUGCAAUCUAUUACUGUUGUGGUAUGAACACAUCUCUUCAUAGAAUAGAUGUUUUGAGCUUAAGAUUUUCCUAACAUCAUCUUUAUCUUUAUCUGUUAGAUAAUCUAUAACAUCCAAAAGUGCAGGGUUCUCUACAACUUGGCAAGAAGUGCCCCUCCCAAGCAUGUCAUUGAGCCUUUUAUACCUUUUGUUAAGGUCAUUGAAUUUAUCCUCGCACUGCUGCGGUGAAACAUGGAAACCUCUUUCAGCCAUGACCUUGGAAACCAAUUUCCACUUGCCCUUUUUCUGUAAGACUGCUAAUUUCCUUCUCAUCCCACCUUCACUAUCUGAAGACGUAUCCUCGCCUAUGUAAGAUACCGCAGUUAUCAAAAGCCUCACCAUCUUAUCAGUCCACUUAACACGCUGCCAUGCUGACCCCUUUUUCCCUCUACUUGCUUCAUUGUGACCAUCAGCACCAUCUUCUGUAUAGCUCCGCUCAUCCUCGUCACUUGCCGGAUUUUUCCCCUUAUCUCCCUUGUUGUAAUUAGUCAUGGAAAUGGUUUGAUCAGAGUUGUCCACCGUUCCUAUGGUAAGAGGGAAAGCCUCAUGAACUGAGGGAUGGAUUGAGGAGCCUUGGCGAUGACCAGGGUGUUGUUGCUGGUUUACAGUAUGUGCGUACGGAGCUUGAUGACGAAGUCUAAUUGAUCCUUGCAAGUCAAGACCUCCAAAAGGAGCCCCACCAGGCAUCAUACCUCCUUGUGACAAAUUCCCUUCCAUGUUCUUUUCCAGAACGAAUUAGAUCAUACCCAUGAGCCCAUUUUCCUAAAACCUUAUUUACUGUUCAUUUUUCUCUCUCUGAAAGCCAAUUAACAUGCUUUAUGCUCUUAUCAAGCUAAGCAAACUCAUUUCUCAUUUUCACCUUUUUAAGCAUCUCAUCAAAUUCUCCAGCUACAUAGAUCCUCAAACAUGUAUAUUCAAUUCGCACCAGGCAAACAAACACAAACCCUUUUCAGAACUCAAUACCAAGC